UUUGAAAUUCCAAAAGCGGAGGAAAAGAAACCAACAGGGAUUGCCCUAGUAACGGCGAGUGAAGCGGCAACAGCUCAAAUUUGAAAUCUGGCCCUCGGGUCCGAGUUGUAAUUUGUAGAGGAUGCUUUUGGCGCGGUGCCUUCCGAGUUCCCUGGAACGGGACGCCUUAGAGGGUGAGAGCCCCGUACGGUUGGACACCAAGCCUCUGUAAAGCUCCUUCGACGAGUCGAGUAGUUUGGGAAUGCUGCUCUAAAUGGGAGGUAAAUUUCUUCUAAAGCUAAAUAUUGGCCAGAGACCGAUAGCGCACAAGUAGAGUGAUCGAAAGAUGAAAAGCACUUUGAAAAGAGGGUUAAAUAGCACGUGAAAUUGUUGAAAGGGAAGCGUUUGCGACCAGACCUUUUCCUGGCGGAUCAUCCGGUGUUCUUCACCGGUGCACUUCGCUAGGUCGAGGCCAGCAUCGGUUUCUGUAGGGGGAUAAAAGCUCAGGGAACGUAGCUCCUUCGGGAGUGUUAUAGCCCUCCGCAUAAUACCCUUACGGGGACCGAGGACCGCGCUUUGCAAGGAUGCGGCGUAAAGGCCG
Molecule: ribosomal RNA, 580 nt
Filed under: Xylariaceae sp. I12F-02261
Lineage: Eukaryota; Fungi; Ascomycota; Sordariomycetes; Xylariales; Xylariaceae
Description: eukaryotic LSU rRNA
Rfam family: Eukaryotic large subunit ribosomal RNA
Source: RNAcentral